This 363-nucleotide ribosomal RNA is filed under the name Clostridioides difficile. Its description in RNAcentral is "bacterial LSU rRNA". It matches the Rfam family "Bacterial large subunit ribosomal RNA", at positions 1329 to 1689 of the family's 2925-position model. Lineage: Bacteria; Bacillati; Bacillota; Clostridia; Peptostreptococcales; Peptostreptococcaceae. The record is from RNAcentral.
CCCACAGGCCGUAAACCCAAGGUUUCCAGGGGAAGGGUGGUCCGCCCUGGGUUAGGCGGGACCGAAGCUGAGGCCGAAAGGCUGAGGUGAUGGACAACAGGUUGAUAUUCCUGUACUACCGAUAACCGUUUGAGAGAAGGGAUGACACAGUAGGAUAAGCUAAGCAAACUGUUGGUUAUGUGUGCCCAAGCAUUGAGGCAGUCAAAGUAGGCAAAUCCGCUUUGAUAAUGCUGGGAUGUGAUGGGGAGCGAAAUUUAGUAGCGAAGUAGCUGAUUUCACACUGUCAAGAAAAGUCUCUAUCGAGGUUAAAGGUACCCGUACCGCAAACCGACACAGGUGGGUGAGGAGAGUAUCCUAAGGCCA